RNAcentral lists this long non-coding RNA (3176 nucleotides) under Homo sapiens (human). RNAcentral describes it as "MIR9-2 host gene, transcript variant 3 (MIR9-2HG)". Lineage: Eukaryota; Metazoa; Chordata; Mammalia; Primates; Hominidae. The record is from RNAcentral.
ACAAGUAAUCCUCGUGUGUGACAGAGAGAGAGAGAGAGAGAGAGAGAGAGAGAGAGAGAGAAACGAGCUGGCGGAGAGGAGCAGAAGGCAGGAGGGGAAAUCUGGCACAACGGCUGGGAGAGGAAACUUGAUGCUUCUGGGCCACCAUUUGCCAGGGCCUCGCUCGAGCCGGCGCCUCGGUUCCUGCCCAGCUGGAUUUGGGGGGCAGCAUUGCCUGGCGCAGGGAGAUCAAAUGAGACUGCAAAGAAGCAUAAAAUGAAUAGACAAUCCAACCAACCAAAGGAAAUUGCUUUGGAGAUGAGGAAACAAACUCUUAUGGAGACCUAAGAGACUGAAGACAUCUGGCGUGGACUACUCUGAUGGUAAAAUUGAAAGUACACCUAAAUUUGCUUUGUUACAGGAUUCUCUUCAGAGGACAAGAGAAGAUGUUACAUUCUCUGCAUGAGGACAAUUCUGCAGCAUCAAAAUCGAAUAAUAUUUGUUUUCUGGCAGCAGAAUUUUGUAUCAUAUUUCUAAAGACAGUAAGCACUUGGGUGGACGUCAAUGAAUACUAAACACUAAUUGAUCUGAUACAGCCGUAUGCACAUACACAGAUAUACAUGGUGGCUUGUAAUGGUUGAAAAAUUACGGUUUGGUUUUAUUAAAAGAUCUGUCACUUUUAGGUCAGAGUGGGAUUUUGGAGGGAUAGUCUCCCACAAUAGAAAACUACCCUGACAACAGUGGUGUUUUGAGGUUGUUUGUUGUUUGGCUUCUUGAUGAUGCUUAGCUAAGGAGACACUUCCUUUCAGAUUCUGUCUUCCAAACCCCAGGGCUCUGUUCUGGGCAGUUCAGCCUAAUGGAAUUAAGCCUGACAUGUUUCAACUCUAUUUCUUGAUAAAAUAAACAUAAAACAAUGGUUUAGAUUUCGAAUAAAACUCUUGAAGCAUGGGGUACUCUAACUUUCCCUGUUCUUUACACAUCUGUAAAUAAAGUGCAUAAAAGAGGAACACAACAGGAUAAAUCAACAUAAAUUUGAAAUCCACUGCAGCAUAUUAAAUGGCGCAGUCUCAGUCAAAGAGAGGCUGACCCCGCGGCUUCGUGCAGUUUGAAGCUAAUUGUUUUCGUCAGGAUGGGAACGUCUGGAAGUCCAUGGCUGUAUCCCACCAGUAAGGCUCCAGUAACUGAGCCGGCCCACAGAGAAUGGGCCCACUUUGUAGCGACACAGCGGGCUCAGACACCACCUAUUCUGCUCUCCAAACUGUCAUGCAUAACAACUUUAUUGUGCUAAAUUGAACUUGAAAGCAACCAAAGGCUAUGAGAAGGAGAGGCUAUGAGAAAAGCGUGCUGUCAGCGCCGGCAAAGGCUGACCUGGAAAGUAGGCUCAGAGACAGGGGAAUAAAAGACCAGGCCCCAUGAACACAGCAUAUUGUUUCAUUUUAAAGUAUGAUUCCCAUACCAGAGAAAGUAGCAAAUGUGAUGUAAAUUUAUUUAAAUAGAUUCGACCGCUUAAAAGUUUGCCAGCCGCUCUUAUCCAACUUUCCCAGCUCUCUGAUUCGUUACUUACAGUGGGAAUAUAAUGACAUAUAGUCAUCAUUGUAACAGCUUCUUUGCAGGGGCACAAUGAUGAUUAAUAGCCAGCAGCAAAUUUUCACAUGGGCUCUGAAGCACUAUGGCAUUAAGCAGCCAAACAGUCCCAAAUCCCCCUUUUCUGUUCCGCUGAAAAGUCCCCUCCUUGUACCUUCCAGAUAGGAACAAAGCCUAUCUUAAUUCCAAUCAGCUUUUCGUCAUUCAAAGGGACCUUCUCUUUUUCAUAAUUGAUUCAUGUGCAUUUUUUAGUGUUCCACUGAGCUGAAGCCACUUUUCUCCUUUCCUCUGUUCUGUCCCCACACCCACACCCCCUUUUUUUGAGGGGGUGAGGAGUGGGAAACAUUUCAACAACAACAACAACAGUAAAAAAUGGUGUGGUAGUUUCCCCCGCAAAUAUUUGCUAAAUAGAUUUCUCAAUUAGUAUUAGCUUUACACUUAAAAGUCUUAAAACAAAAAUUAACUCCUGGACUUCUUUUUUGUUGGAAGUGGUUUUGGUUAUAAAAAUAUGAGCUUACUGAAAUAGCUCUGGUGGCAGCCCCACAAUCAUGUUCUGUUUCACUGGGAGAGUUUGAGUAGCUUUCCUUCCCACCAGAGACUCACAGCUGGAGUGAGGAUGGAGUCUCUUGCUUCAGACAGAUUCUUUUUCCUCCUCUGUGCUGGUAGCCAUCAAAAAAAGAACAAGUGACCAAAAUGAAAGGCGGCAAAUGCACACCUCCUAACCCACUCUGUCCUUCUUAAGUAUCAUUUUUCCCCAUAGUAAUCGUACAUUAUAAUUAUUAGCAGAAGCUCCUGUGCUAUUUGUGGAAGUGCUCUCUCUCGUCUAUAGUUUUCACCUCCUGUGAUAACGACACAAACGACAUCAACCAGUGCUGUCUUGGAAAAAGAUUUCCAUCCGCAAAUUCAUUUGUGUUUCUAUGACAAUAUGAUGGCCAUAGAGCACAGUUUUAGUAGAUAUACUUUGCAUAUUUGUUUACAUUCCUUACAAAUCUGACCUCAUUUUUCUAUAUGAGUAGGGUGACCACACACCCCUGUUUUCUCAGGACUAGCUGUAUUUAUGCCUAUUGUCCUUACAUAAUUAUUAACAGUACUUCCUUUCACCCUCAAAAGUAUCCUGAUUUGAACAAUUUGAAAAACUCAUGACGUUUUGCCAUUAAAAUGGCCCCAAAUGACUUACACAAACCCAAAGGGUGGGCUGUCUCCUACCCAGGUGGCUGGGGACUGCUUUAUACCAUCCCAGUUUAGGGGAAAGAAUCAAACUUGGAAACCCUGCUGCCGAUGUAGCAGCACCGACUUUUGUCUCGCCCACUUUGAAGAGGUCAGUUGACCCUAUACAGCUUCUUUGAUAUGUGACAGAAAGGAGGUCAUUUGCUGAAAUGAAAGACACAUUACAAACCAGAUUUUAAGUGUGACUCUUUCCUUCAGCUGGGUCACAGUUCUUACUUUGAGCCAGAGCAACACACUUUACUGGUCAGAUAAAAAUACUCUGCCAUAUUUUAGAAUAAUGACCUUUCUUAUGCUUUGGUGUCUCCAAAUGGUUAAAUGGAGAAUAUAUCCAAUUGACAGGAGGAAUUCUGUUCAUCAUUUUUACUCUUGUGUUUAUAUCUUCUCAU